GCGGUGGAAUGCGCAGAUAUCAGGAGGAACACCGAUGGCGAAGGCAGAUCUCUGGGCCGUAACUGACGCUGAGGAGCGAAAGGGUGGGGAGCAAACAGGCUUAGAUACCCUGGUAGUCCACCCCGUAAACGUUGGGAACUAGUUGUGGGGUCCAUUCCACGGAUUCCGUGACGCAGCUAACGCAUUAAGUUCCCCGCCUGGGGAGUACGGCCGCAAGGCUAAAACUCAAAGGAAUUGACGGGGACCCGCACAAGCGGCGGAGCAUGCGGAUUAAUUCGAUGCAACGCGAAGAACCUUACCAAGGCUUGACAUAUACGAGAACGGGCCAGAAAUGGUCAACUCUUUGGACACUCGUAAACAGGUGGUGCAUGGUUGUCGUCAGCUCGUGUCGUGAGAUGUUGGGUUAAGUCCCGCAACGAGCGCAACCCUCGUUCUAUGUUGCCAGCACGUAAUGGUGGGAACUCAUGGGAUACUGCCGGGGUCAACUCGGAGGAAGGUGGGGAUGACGUCAAAUCAUCAUGCCCCUUAUGUCUUGGGCUUCACGCAUGCUACAAUGGCCGGUACAAAGGGCUGCAAUACCGCGAGGUGGAGCGAAUCCCAAAAAGCCGGUCCCAGUUCGGAUUGAGGUCUGCAACUCGACCUCAUGAAGUCGGAGUCGCUAGUAAUCGCAGAUCAGCAACGCUGCGGUGAAUACGUUCCCGGGUCUUGUACACACCGCCCGUCAAGUCAUGAAAGUCGGUAACACCUGAAGCCGGUGGCCUAACCCUUGGGAGGGG
RNAcentral lists this ribosomal RNA (776 nucleotides) under Microbacterium sp. Y930_6. RNAcentral's name for it is "bacterial SSU rRNA". It matches the Rfam family "Bacterial small subunit ribosomal RNA", at positions 678 to 1451 of the family's 1533-position model. The record is from RNAcentral. Lineage: Bacteria; Bacillati; Actinomycetota; Actinomycetes; Micrococcales; Microbacteriaceae.